GAAUGGCUGCAACGUUUGUCACCCUAUUGAUCAUCAGGAUUCAUUUGGUUGAUUUCGCUGGAUAGUAUCUUUUCCCCC
RNAcentral lists this small RNA (78 nucleotides) under Myotis lucifugus (little brown bat). RNAcentral's name for it is "7SK RNA (ENSMLUG00000021914.2)". Lineage: Eukaryota; Metazoa; Chordata; Mammalia; Chiroptera; Vespertilionidae. The record is from RNAcentral.